AGGGUGAAUGUUGAUGCUGUAAACUAUGUAGAGCUGGAUAGAGGAACUUGUUAGGGUGAAAUGUUGAUGCUGAAAAUUAUGUAGAGCUGGAUAGAGGAACUUGUGUAGAGGUCAAAAUGAUGCUGAAUUUGAUGGAGAGAGUGCAGUGAGAGGAAUGAGAAAGUUAGACAGUUGGAGGAUGGGUGCUGGUGAUUUUAAGAUCGUCUCAAAUAUCUAGAGCUGGAAACUAUGAAUAAAAAAACAGGUCCAAAGUUUUAAAAGAACAACUUGUGGAGGUUAAAAAUGAGUGCUAAAUGUAACGGAGAGAGCAGUGAAGGGAAUACAGAAAAGUAGACUGUAGGACAGAGAUGUGUUAGUGCUUAAGGUGGUAACUUAUGAAUAAAGCAACAGAUGUAAAAUUACUGAAACAAAAGAUUGUGGUUGGUCAUAAGUAGAAAACCAGCUUCAUGAGAGUGAAGAGGAAGGAAAUAAAAUAUAAAAGAAAACAAGCUGCAUGAGGGUGAAGAAGGAAAUGGAACAGUUACAGAUGACAUAUUUGAGUAUAAACAUGCAAGUAAUGCUGAGACAGGGUACGAGACCUGUGUCUGAUUAUAAACAGGAUAGGAGACUGUGAGGGAACGGGAGGCCACGAUCUCUUGCCCUCAAAAUAUAAAUGAUGUUAAUUUAAGCCAGGCAGGAGGAUAACAAGCCAGGAAGUGAAGUCCAGAAGCUGGGGUGCAGUAGGGAGACGACAGCAGUGGCAGGUGCAGAUAUGGAGAGAAGCAGCAGGAGCCCAGGCUUGCUGCUCUUCCUGUGAGACGAGGAACCAGCUCGAAGAGAGAUGAGGCACAGUGUUCAUCUGCAUCAGCUCUAAGUAUUCCCACCACAACUGGCAUCUACUCAAGGAACAAGGGUCUGCUUACAUUUGCCACUCCCUACCUUCAAUCAAACCGGGUCUGUUCACAUUUGCCACUCCUACACAGCUUCAAUCGUCCUCUCAUUUGUCUCUCUCCACACAGUCCAAGCAUGACCACCAUCUAUUUCCUUCACUGAUAAUCCACAGUUCCUUCAGCACUACUUGCAUCAUCUCAUUCCUGUCUCUGGCACACUUCACACACAUCCGCAUCAAAACUUCCACAACCUCCUAUCCUUGUUCCGAGAUUAAGACUGCUUUCUCUUUAAACCACUCCUUGUUCCAUCUAAUUCUUCCUUUCAUUCAGAUCCACUACUGUAUCUUGCUCUUCCACUUCCUCAUCCCAUUCUAAAUCCUCUCAAAUUCUAAGAUUCACACUCCAGUCACUCUAAAUAUGGCUUCUUUCAAACUACUGAAAAGCUCAACUGAUUUCCAAGCCACUAAGAGCACUAACAUCUUAGCACAUACUUCAUUCACUCUUGAUAUGGCUUCUCUUAAAACUGCUGAAAAGUCCAAUUACUUUCCAAACCAUUUUUUAAUAACUAACAAUCUUGACACACUUCUCCUUCCUAUUCUUGCAUCAUGAUCAUUGCCUCUAAUCUAGCCCCUGGUGGCUUGAGGGCCCUAGACAAUCGCCUUGUCCGCCUAUAGCUAGAAACGGCCCUGUACAUGCCUCUGAAAAUACUCUAUCCCUCUACAUAAAGUGCCAUUCUAGCUA
RNAcentral lists this long non-coding RNA (1610 nucleotides) under Portunus trituberculatus (swimming crab). RNAcentral's name for it is "uncharacterized LOC123512332". Lineage: Eukaryota; Metazoa; Arthropoda; Malacostraca; Decapoda; Portunidae. The record is from RNAcentral.